AAAGUUGAACCCAGUCUAUGGUUGAACCUUUAGCCAGGCAGAGAUCCAGCCUUCCCCCACUCCUAAUAGAAUAUCAAAACAGACAAAACGUCGGGAAUAAUAGCCUUAAGUUCUAUAAAGCAGGUGGUGAACAAGAAAUAUCAGUUAGGAUGCUCACUGCUAAGUGUAAGUAACUUACUGUAAGCUAACGUUAGCUAACAACUUGAUAGAGAGAGGCAUAACUGUGGGUUUGUCUGUCGUAUAGUGAUGAAAAAAACAUUUAAUGUAGUUACGUGUCAUUUUUGCUGGCAAGACAAGUGACCCAACCUGUCACCACCAUAAUACUUACUAAUACUAAUAUAUACUAUAUAUAUGGGUGUUUCAAUUACUUUGAAUGGGAAUGAUCUUUAGGUGUACUAGGGCGAUAUAUAUGGCUUUUCUUGACUUUAUUAAUUGAAAACACAUAGAAUACCGUUUCUGCAAUAAAAUAUAGUAAAAGAGCAAACUGAAGAGCUUUCAGCUGUGAGGGAGACCUCCACUAAACUCCAGUCCAGGUUUUUCGAGCAACACCUGCUAACCGAGAAAUUCAAUUAAGGACUCCUCUUCCCACUAGGAGCCGGUCUCCAGGGCAGAUCUUCCGGGCGACUCGCCCUGUAAGAAAUUAGAAAAUGCUACAAUAAAACCCGAAAAACUGAAAAUAAUGUGGCAACUUUAACAAUGAAAGCUCUCACGCUAUCCACCAUAAUCACACACGUCCCUUUAGUUGGAAGUCACCGAAAGACAGCGAAGUACCACAGAUCAUUCAUGGAAAGCCGUCUUCUAUAUUAAAGAUGCCACAGCUAGUACAACACAAGAGAUAUUUACUGAAGUUAGCAUGCUAACCAGCUAGCCUCAGCCCCAAUCUGGCAGCGUUGACUGGCAGGCUGCUGAGCAGGGUUCCUUUGCAGCUCAUCCAGGAUGGCACAUCAAUGCGAGCUGUGGCAAGAAGGUUUGCUGUGUCUGUCGGCGUAGUGUCCAGAGCACGGAGGUGCUACCAGGAGA
Micropterus salmoides (largemouth bass) is the source of this 1020-nucleotide long non-coding RNA. RefSeq lists it as uncharacterized. The record is from RefSeq and is a predicted model, not a curated record. The transcript has 3 exons. NCBI's taxonomy places the organism in Eukaryota, Metazoa, Chordata, Actinopteri, Centrarchiformes, Centrarchidae.